RNAcentral lists this ribosomal RNA (1965 nucleotides) under human gut metagenome. RNAcentral describes it as "bacterial LSU rRNA". It matches the Rfam family "Bacterial large subunit ribosomal RNA", at positions 1 to 1977 of the family's 2925-position model. The record is from RNAcentral.
UUAAGUGAACAAGGGCAUACGGCGGAUGCCUUGGCGCCAAGAGCCGAUGAAGGACGCGGUAAGCUGCGAAAAGGCAUGGGUAGGAGCAAGCAUCCUGUGAUCCAUGCAUAUCCGAAUGGGGCAACCCACCAUCAGUCAUGUGAUGGUACGAAAGAGGCAGACCUGGGGAACUGAAACAUCUAAGUACCCAGAGGAAAAGUAAUCAAUUGAGAUUCCCUAAGUAGCGGCGAGCGAAAGGGGAAGAGCCCAAACCAGAUAACUUCGGUUGUCUGGGGUUGAGGACCGGCAAAAAGAGGAAACUUCUUAGUCGAAUGGUUUGGAAAGGCCAUGCAUAGAAGGUAAAACACCUGUAGGCGAAAAGAAGUCAAUCGGGCUGGUAUCCAGAGUACUGCGAGACACGUGAAACCUUGCAGGAAGCAGGGGGGACCACCCUCCAAGGCAAAAUACUACUUGGCGACCGAUAGCGCAUAGUACCGUGAGGGAAAGGUGAAAAGAACCCCGGGAGGGGAGUGAAAUAGAACCUGAAACCGUAUGUCUACAAGCAGUCGAAGCACCUUAAGAGUGCGACGGCGUGCCUAUUGAAGAAUGAACCGGCGAGUUACAUUAUGUUGCGAGGUUAAGUGGGAGACACGGAGCCGAAGCGAAAGCGAGUCUUAAUAGGGCGACUAGUAACAUGGUGUAGACCCGAAACCGCAGUGAUCUAUCCAUGGUCAGGUUGAAGCGCAGGUAAAAAUGCGUGGAGGACCGAACCCGUGAGUGUUGAAAAACUUUGGGAUGAACCGUGGAUAGGGGUGAAAUGCCAAUCGAACGCGGAGAUAGCUGGUACUCCCCGAAAUAGCUUUAGGGCUAGCCUCAGGGAAGAUUAUAGACGGUAGAGCACUGAUCUGGCAAGGGGGCGUAGAGCCUACCGACCCUAGUCAAACUUCGAAUGGCUAUAAUUAAGACCCUGGGAGUCAGACUGCGAGUGAUAAGACCCGUAGUCAAGAGGGAAACAGCCCAGACCGCCGACUAAGGUCCCCAAUGCUGUACUAAGUGGAAAAGGAUGUAAGACUUCAUAAACAACCAGGAUGUUGGCUUAGAAGCAGCCACCAUUAAAAGAGUGCGUAAUAGCUCACUGGUCGAGAGGCCUUGCGCCGAAGAUGUCCGGGGCUCAAGUACAGAACCGAAGUCGCGGCAGGAUUAUAUAAUUCUGGGUAGGGGAGCGUUGUAUAUCCGACUGAAGGUGUACCGGAAGGAGCGCUGGAGGAUAUACAAGAGAGAAUGCCGGUAUGAGUAGCGAAAAGAACAGUGAGAAUCUGUUCCACCGAAAGCCUAAGGUUUCCUGAGCAACGCUCGUCGACUCAGGGUAAGUCGGGACCUAAGCCGAGGCAAAAAGCAUAGGCGAUGGACAACAGGUUAAUAUUCCUGUACCGCUUCAAAUCGUUUGAGCAAUGGAGUGACACAGAAGGUAGCUUGAGCACGCGAUUGGAUGUGCGUGUCGAAGGUGGUAGGUUGCAGUAUAGGCAAAUCCGUACUGUAUAAGACCGAGAACUGAUAGAUAGACGAUACUUCGGUAAAGUCAAAUUCAAGUGAGCCAUGCUGUCGAGAAAAGCUUCUAGUGAGAGAUGAGGCGCCCGUACCGAAACCGACACAGGUAGGCGGGGAGAGAAUCCUAAGGUGCGCGGGACAACCCUCGUUAAGGAACUCGGCAAAUUGUAUCCGUAACUUAGGGAUAAGGAUAGCCGGAGGAUGUGAAGGGAUUUACUUCUGGAGCGUCAGCCGGUGGCACAAGAGAGGCCCAAGCGACUGUUUAGCACAAACACAGGUGCCUGCAAAAGAGAAAUCUGACGUAUAGGUGCUGACACCUGCCCGGUGCUGGAAGGUUAAGAGGAGGGCUUAGAGGCAACUCGAAGGCUUGAAUUGAAGCCCCAGUAAACGGCGGCCGUAACUAUAACGGUCCUAAGGUAGCGAAAUUCCUUGUCGGGU